Molecule: ribosomal RNA, 404 nt
Filed under: uncultured bacterium
Lineage: Bacteria
Description: bacterial SSU rRNA
Rfam family: Bacterial small subunit ribosomal RNA
Source: RNAcentral
UGGGGAAUAUUGCACAAUGGGGGAAACCCUGAUGCAGCAACGCCGCGUGAGUGAAGAAGUAUUUCGGUAUGUAAAGCUCUAUCAGCAGGGAAGAAAAUGACGGUACCUGACUAAGAAGCUCCGGCUAAAUACGUGCCAGCAGCCGCGGUAAUACGUAUGGAGCAAGCGUUAUCCGGAAUUACUGGGUGUAAAGGGAGCGCAGGCGGUUUAGCAAGUCUGAUGUGAAAACCCGGGGCUCAACCCCGGACCUGCAUUGGAAACUGUUAAACUAGAGUGCCGGAGAGGUAAGUGGAAUUCCUAGUGUAGCGGUGAAAUGCGUAGAUAUUAGGAGGAACACCAGUGGCGAAGGCGGCUUACUGGACGGUAACUGACGCUGAGGCUCGAAAGCGUGGGGAGCAAACAGG